AUGACUGCAGAGGAACGGGCGUCGAACGAAGGAGGAGAGCAACGACCGCAUAGGAACGGCCGUCGAACGCUUCUGGAGGCAUCUCUGACCGUGGACGGAACCGACGGAUUCGGUGUCAAGAGCGACCCUUUUUGGUUGUCCAGACUCCAGAGGCGAUUUACCCCCUCGAGCCUCAUCGGAAUCCGCUGCAACUUGAGCGUGGCUGUCGCUGCAUGUGGCUGUGGAGGUAGAUCGAGGCAGCCCCCCACUUCCUACAAGGGGUAUAUGCCCCCGUCCCCAUGGCUCUUCCCAAUGCAGUCACAUCAGUUUUUUAUACGUGCAAGUAGGCAAAGAGGUCUAGAGCAGAGCAGAGCAUUCUUCCUGCACAACCAUCCUCCUGUUCAGGCGUCCUAUCACAUAGCUCAGGAUGGACAAGGUGAAGAGCCAUGGCAGCAAGCAUCGGGGAGGAUCCGGAGGGCUGAGCAGGAUGCUGAGGCAGCACAAGGCCAGGCUCUAUAUCAUCCGCCGAUGCGUCAGUCGACGAUUCUAGCAAUCGAGCAGCAGGAGCAAGAUGGUGCUACAGGACAAGAUGGGUCGAGUUCAAGCUCAAGCUCAAGAGGUGGUGGCAACUUGAUUAUGCUAACCCAUGUUAUAAAAACUGACUCUCGGGGGAGGGGGGUUUACCAAGGGCAGGCAACUCUACAGCGACAACAACCAACUACAACAAAGACUACAUGCUCCCACCCUCCCUCGCGACCUGUAUGUGACCGCAAUGGCAACUGGGCCCUCCGGGAUACUCCUUCUAUGUACUGGCCACAACUCAACAUGUCUCGAGCGGCAACUAUGAGAACCAUGGCUCGAUGUGUCUUCGGCGGUGACUGUGACAACCACGACCCAAUCGUCUCAAAUGGGGCUUCAAUGUCACCGUCAAUGUCGGCGACCGCCAUGCUUUGCUACCAAGUUGUCGUCGACGGCGUCGUCGUCGGUUGGCUCAUAGCAUGGAAAGAAGUUGUGCGGGUCACAGUAGAGAGAAGUGUGGUGCUCGUGGUGGCCAGGGGAGGGGGGAGGCGGGCUACUGUUCAUCUCCCUUCCCCGGCUACUACUACUCCAACGGAAGCCAGUCAGAGUAUUGUCAUCAUGCAUUAUAAAACGAUCCUCCAAUUUGAGGACGACAUGAGCAAUAUCAUAUACUCCGACCGGACAGUUCCUCAACGAAAGGCGCCUAGCCUGGCCACCCACCCCCACAGCGAUUUGCCCCCUGGAGCGUCAUCGGAAUCCGCUGAAUGCAACUUGGGCGAGGCUGCCGCUGCAUGUGGUUACGGAGCUAGAGGCGGCUCCUCGCUUCCUACAAGGGGCAUCCCCAUCUCUCUGCCCAAUGUCGCAUCAGUACUAGCAGUGCAAGAAGCCAAGAACAGAGAGCCUUCCUGCUCACCUAGCUCAACCAGCCUCCUCCUGUUCAGCAAUCAGGAGCAACCGAGCAAGCUCGAGAUGGAGAACAAGAUGAAGAGCCAUGGCGGCAAGCACAAGGGGUCGGGAGGAUCAGGAGGGCUGAGCAGGAUGCUGAGGGAGCACAAGGCGAGGCUCUACAUCAUCCGCCGAUGCGUCGUCAUGCUCCUCUGCUCUUGA
RNAcentral lists this ribosomal RNA (1605 nucleotides) under Triticum aestivum (bread wheat). Its description in RNAcentral is "partial small subunit ribosomal RNA". Lineage: Eukaryota; Viridiplantae; Streptophyta; Magnoliopsida; Poales; Poaceae. The record is from RNAcentral.